UACCUGCAGCUCGAGUGGUAACCGCUAUUAUUGGGCCUAAAGCGUCCGUAGCCGGUUUGGUAAAUAUCUGGGUAAAUCGUGAGGCUUAACUUCACGAAUUUCGGAUAGACUGCCAGACUUGGGAUCGGGGGAGGUCAGAGGUACUCCAGGGGUAGCGGUGAAAUGUUGUAAUCCUUGGAGGACCACCGGUAGCGAAGGAGUCUGACUAGAACGAGUCCGACGGUGAGGGACGAAGCCCUGGGGCGCAAACCGGAUUAGAUACCCCGGGUAGUCCAGGGUGUAAACGAUGUGGGCUUUGUAUUGGAGGUCCCGCGUGGGCGUCCAGUGUAGAAGAGAAGUUGUUAAGCCCACCGCCUGGGAAGUACGGUCGCAAGGCUGAAACUUAAAGGAAUUGGCGGGGGAGCACAGCAACGGGAGGAGCGUGCGGUUU
RNAcentral lists this ribosomal RNA (430 nucleotides) under uncultured archaeon. RNAcentral's name for it is "bacterial SSU rRNA". It matches the Rfam family "Archaeal small subunit ribosomal RNA", at positions 474 to 903 of the family's 1478-position model. The record is from RNAcentral.